GUCCACGCCGUAACGAUGAAUACUAGGUGUCGGAAGCACAGCUUUCGGUGCCGCCGCAAACGCAUUAAGUAUUCCACCUGGGAGUACGUUCGCAAGAAUGAACUCAAAGGAAUUGACGGGCCCGCACAAGCAGUGGAUUAUGUGGUUAAUUCGACGCAACGCGAAGAACCUUACCAGGAUUUGACAUCCCACUAACGAAGUAGAGAUACAUUAGGUACCCUUCGGGAAGUGGAGACAGGUGGUGCAUGGUUGUCGU
Molecule: ribosomal RNA, 256 nt
Filed under: uncultured bacterium
Lineage: Bacteria
Description: partial 16S ribosomal RNA
Rfam family: Bacterial small subunit ribosomal RNA
Source: RNAcentral